Non-coding RNA from Aedes albopictus (Asian tiger mosquito), 118 nucleotides. NCBI's taxonomy places the organism in Eukaryota, Metazoa, Arthropoda, Insecta, Diptera, Culicidae. The record is from Rfam.
UGCCCAGUAAAUCCUGUCCCUACCUCCUCGUGGUACCGACCAGAAACUAUGAGCGACCUUAGGGAAGAUCGGGUAACCAACCCCGGUGGGAAGUUUGGUCGUAGGCUGACAGGGGAGG